GGCAAGAUGGUCGAGUGGUCUAAGACGACAGGUUUAGGCCCUGUUCUACAUUGUAGGCGUGGGUUCAAAUCCCACUCUUGUCA
Molecule: transfer RNA, 83 nt
Filed under: Mitosporidium daphniae
Lineage: Eukaryota; Fungi; Microsporidia
Rfam family: tRNA
About the family: Transfer RNA (tRNA) molecules are approximately 80 nucleotides in length. Their secondary structure includes four short double-helical elements and three loops (D, anti-codon, and T loops).
Source: Rfam by way of RNAcentral